GGGACACGUGGUAUCCUGUCUGAAUAUGGGGGGACCAUCCUCCAAGGCUAAAUACUCCUGACUGACCGAUAGUGAACCAGUACCGUGAGGGAAAGGCGAAAAGAACCCCGGCGAGGGGAGUGAAAAAGAACCUGAAACCGUGUACGUACAAGCAGUGGGAGCCUCUUAAUGGGGUGACUGCGUACCUUUUGUAUAAUGGGUCAGCGACUUAUAUUCUGUAGCAAGGUUAACCGAAUAGGGGAGCCGAAGGGAAACCGAGUCUUAACUGGGCGUUAAGUUGCAGGGUAUAGACCCGAAACCCGGUGAUCUAGCCAUGGGCAGGUUGAAGGUUGGGUAACACUAACUGGAGGACCGAACCGACUAAUGUUGAAAAAUUAGCGGAUGACUUGUGGCUGGGGGUGAAAGGCCAAUCAAACCGGGAGAUAGCUGGUUCUCCCCGA
Molecule: ribosomal RNA, 440 nt
Filed under: Escherichia coli
Lineage: Bacteria; Pseudomonadati; Pseudomonadota; Gammaproteobacteria; Enterobacterales; Enterobacteriaceae
Description: partial 23S ribosomal RNA
Rfam family: Bacterial large subunit ribosomal RNA
Source: RNAcentral